GGGACUGUAGCUCAGUGGUAGAGCACUUGCCUUGCAUGUGUAAGGUGCUGGGUUCAAUCCUCAGCACCA
Molecule: transfer RNA, 69 nt
Filed under: Ictidomys tridecemlineatus (thirteen-lined ground squirrel)
Lineage: Eukaryota; Metazoa; Chordata; Mammalia; Rodentia; Sciuridae
Description: Spermophilus tridecemlineatus (thirteen-lined ground squirrel) tRNA
Rfam family: tRNA
About the family: Transfer RNA (tRNA) molecules are approximately 80 nucleotides in length.
Source: Rfam by way of RNAcentral